Molecule: long non-coding RNA, 255 nt
Filed under: Elaeis guineensis (African oil palm)
Lineage: Eukaryota; Viridiplantae; Streptophyta; Magnoliopsida; Arecales; Arecaceae
Description: long non-coding RNA (EGUI_LNC011999)
Source: RNAcentral
UGUAUGAGCGUGAGUUUAGACUGACUAGAUCCACUAGUUGCUUAGAAGAACCGUAUGGCUGGUAAGAGUUUUGACCAAAUAUUACUCGAAAAAAGGUGUUUAUGGUGAAAGGAAGGAACUUUAUGUGCAAGGCGGGUCCAUUAAGUACCAUGAACAUUUUUUUGCAUGAAUUUUAAAGUAGACCACAAAAAAUGUUUGAACAGUAUGUGAGGUGGAAAAGGACUCCCAAUGGAGUCCUCCUUUCCUCGAGUUCGA